This 46-nucleotide small RNA is filed under the name Arabidopsis thaliana (thale cress). RNAcentral's name for it is "ATSL228460". The record is from RNAcentral. Lineage: Eukaryota; Viridiplantae; Streptophyta; Magnoliopsida; Brassicales; Brassicaceae.
UUUUCUCGUCCGUCCUUACUCUUCCUUGGAGCAUCUACACUAUGAC